This 44-nucleotide ribosomal RNA is filed under the name Gomphus clavatus. RNAcentral describes it as "28S ribosomal RNA". The record is from RNAcentral. Lineage: Eukaryota; Fungi; Basidiomycota; Agaricomycetes; Gomphales; Gomphaceae.
UCAAAUCANGUAGGACUACCCGCUGAACUUAAGCAUAUCAAUAA